UCGAAGUUUCUGGAUCCUGGAUCUAUAAUGAAAGUAGGUGCUAUGAUGUCCAUUGUGUUGAUGGAAACACUGAGACCCUGAGUGCACCAGGGAGCAGCUGGAGAUCAGACUGCCACCUCCUCAACUGAUGACAUUCCAGAUGCCACCGGGCCCAGAUUCCCCAUCCCUCUCUUGGAGAGCCUGUGCCUAAAUCCCCCUGGGGUGGGAUGAUAAAGCCUCCUUUGACUCUCACCCCAGUAGCUUUGAAGAGUGUAUCAUUUAGGAUGAUUUCAGUCACAAGAGAAAGUUCCCCAACUAACGUUGGCUGAAACUCUUAAGACCUUCUUUCAGUAACAAUAAUUCAUCAGGUAGAGCUGCUAAGUCAGCAGCUGAUGGGGCUGUGGGGCUGUUUCCCUUUGAUUUCCUUCACUUGUCCUCAUGGUCACAAGAUGGCUGCUGGAGCCUGAAGUGCAGCAUCCAUUCAUUCAUUCAUUCAACAAAUAUUUAAUAAGUGCUACUAUGUGUUGGGCACAUUUCUCAGCAUUGGAAACACAACAGUGAAUAAAACUUAUGGAAAUCCUUGCCCACAAGGAACUUCCAUUGUAGUGGGUAAAGGGGAGAUAAUGAACAAAAUAAAUUUUAAAACUACGUAGUAUAUUAGUGACAUGUUAUAGAAAACAAUAAAAAGAAUAAAGGUAAUGAGAAGGAUAAGGAUAUUUUUAAAAUAUCCUCACUGAGAAGCUGAUAUUUGAACAAAGACCUGAAGAUGUGAAAGAAAAAUCCAGUGAAGAUCUGGAGGAAGGGUGUUCUAGGUGGGGGGGAAUAGCAAGUGCAAAGGCCCUGAGGCAGGUGUGUUCUUAGUAUGUUCUAGGGAAGCAAGGAGACCAGUAGCUGGAUUGGUGUGAUGGAGGAGGAAUGUCAUAGAAGGUAAGAUUAGAGAGAAAAAAGAGGCCAUGGGUGCUUGAAAACACACGACAGCAUGCAAAACAUGAAGCAAAGAAAGUCUUCUCCUAACGUCACUCUUUAGUUUGUCAGAGAGGAAAAUGUUUCCCAGUGGUCCAGCUCUACCCCAAAGACUUUCCCUUCCAUUUCACUGGCCAGACCUGGGUCACAUGGCCACCCCAAACCAAUCACUGGCAUGAUUCAUCCCUAGGAUGCGGGCCCCCAGCACGUUGCUGAACACUUCUUUCUGCUUCUCUCUCAGGUCUCUGGUCCACAAAAAAUGUCUCUUCCACUGGAAAAAAAAAAACAAAACCCAAUUUUUAACCAUGGAAAUUUGAAGCAUAUUCCAAGUAGAGAGAAUGACGUAAUAAACCCCAGUUCAGAAGAUCCAACUGGGGGAGGGGCUUGGAGUACUGUGACAGUCCCUCCUCCCAAGCAAAGCCCCUCUGAGCCCAGAGCAAGCAUG
RNAcentral lists this long non-coding RNA (1387 nucleotides) under Equus caballus (horse). RNAcentral's name for it is "lncRNA (ENSECAG00000059704.1)". The record is from RNAcentral. Lineage: Eukaryota; Metazoa; Chordata; Mammalia; Perissodactyla; Equidae.